CCUGCAUCCAAGGGUCUCUGGUACCUGCCUUUCUGGGGGUCCCGGCUGCACUGUCAGGAUUGCUUUCUUCUACUCUGGUCCUGUUCACGUUUCAAACACCUUUCAUCACAGAGAUAUAUUCAGGUGCUUUCAUAAUGGCCAUGCCCAUCAAAGAUGAAUGAAAAUACAUUAGGUUGUAACACCCAGAAGAGUAAGCACAGAAUAUUUACACUAAAAAUGAACAGUGUGGAACUGUGACAGAUGGGCAUUAAUCUGUCAUCAAUUACAUCGGACACAGAACAGAACAAAGUUGGGAAGCUGUAAGAAAAUAUGAACCCUUUCUUUUUUAAAGUAAAAAUGAACUGGACACAGACUGAAACCUCUAAUCAGAAUAAGUAGGCUGUAAAUCCUGAUUUGUUUAAAGGGAGGAUCCUGAUGCAGAUGUGGAAGCCAGCUCUAAAGAAAAGGCUUUAUCCUUGCUCAGAGUCCUGUGACACAGAAGAAAAAAUCCAGGAUCAAAAAUUCCCCAUGCAACUGUGAGAGUGUUGCUAAC
Long non-coding RNA from Zonotrichia leucophrys gambelii, 532 nucleotides. RefSeq lists it as uncharacterized. The transcript is spliced from 3 exons. NCBI's taxonomy places the organism in Eukaryota, Metazoa, Chordata, Aves, Passeriformes, Passerellidae. The record is from RefSeq and is a predicted model, not a curated record.